Long non-coding RNA from Gambusia affinis (western mosquitofish), 3441 nucleotides. RefSeq lists it as uncharacterized. The record is from RefSeq and is a predicted model, not a curated record. NCBI's taxonomy places the organism in Eukaryota, Metazoa, Chordata, Actinopteri, Cyprinodontiformes, Poeciliidae. The transcript is spliced from 3 exons.
AAUAAACAGUCAAGGUUGUGUAACCUGCAAUUAGUAAUGGACUUUUAUUUUUGCGGGCCCACUUCCUGUUUGCCCCAAACUCCGCUAGCUUAUUUAAAGCCACGCCUCCAGCGCGCAGUUUAAAGAUCCUCACCUGUUUCCACUGUGGUUGUGGCUUGUUGUUGGCGUCUUCUUCACGGAGUCAUCAAAAUCUUUAAGCCCACUGAUUUGAUUGCCUGAAUUAUUGGCGGUGUUACCUGGAUGUCGCCGGGGUUCUGGCACAGCUGAUUGUGGCUGGGCGUGCCCACUCUCUUGAUAAGGUCGGGUUUUUUUUUUCCGGUUGGAUCAGAUCCUCAUCAGGAUUUGAAGAUGGCGAGCUAAGGAAAAGAACUCUGAACUUAAUGAUUUUGCAAUUAAUUUAUUCUGGGUCAAUUGUCUUGUCUCAUUGUGUUGUUGUAAUUGUUGUUUUAUUCAAAUCACUUAAUAUAUAUUCACCAAAACUAAAAACACUGCCUCCUGUUUUCUCCACACCUCGGGCUCCUAAAAGAACACUCUUCUGAUGCUGCUUUGGUAGCCGCAGUUAGCUGCCUAGCCCAUAACUGUUACAUUGUUGGCGAGCUAGCCAGGAGCCUGAUACUGUGAAUGUUUUGGUGGAUGUGUUUUGUGGUUUGUAUUGAAAUAUGGAUUUCUUUGACCAAAUUGGUAUCAAUGUUGCAAAUUCUGUCAUCAUUAGUGGUGUAACGAACACUCAAGCAGAUGAUGAGAUCAUCAAUUAUUUACGUGGUUAUGGUGGAAUUAAGGUUUUUACUGUUACUGCACGUGAGAAUCCAUUUUAUAAAAACCUGGCCGUUGAAUUCAGUAAUUCUGCAGAUUUGGAAAAGCUAAAAUCGCUUUUGCCAUACGUUUAUCCAUCUCAGGUUACAGAAGAUGUUAUAUUUGUUGUUAAAUUACUUUCAAGAGAGUGCCCUGCCACAGCCACAGUGGACACAACCUUACCUCCCGAUUACCUUCAUGAACUGAAACGUAUUUCCCAGCAGAGUGGACAAUCAUUUGAUGAUGUUUUGAAAGGAGUUUUUGAACAAAUAAGUGCUCAUUUAGGAAUAGCAGCUAGUGGAGGGAAGCCUGAUAAAGAUGAUGAAGGGGAUGAUGAGGAGGAGGAUAUUGUUGAAGUACUUAACACUGAAAGAGAGUCUAGUCAGACUCCGCCACCUACUCUUCCCUCAAAUCAAUCAGAUCAGUCCACCACCUACCAGCAAGGACCACAAACUCAACCAAAUCCAACUACAAAUGUGGGGCCGAGAAUUUUCCUUUCGGGGAAUGAUCUGAAUCCUUCUGAGGUCCAAAGGGUUGUUGUGGAACACAUUGAGAGAUGAUGUAAAUCUUCAACCUCUGUCUUCAUUCAGACUACGUACCUUUUCAGGAAGACUUCCAAAACCUCAGCAUGAGGCAGAUUAUGAAUCCUGGAGGUCUCAAAUAGAACUUUUAAAUGCAGAUCCAAGUCAUGCACCCUUACAUGUUACAAGGCGCAUUUUGGAAGGUUUACUCCCUCCAGCUGCUGACCUAGUGAAGGGUUUGGGGCCUGAUGCCCUGCCUGCCACAUUUUUGCAGGUACUCGAUUCUGCAUAUGCUACUGUUGAGGAUGGAGAAGAAUUGUUUGCAAAAUUUUUAAACACACUUCAGGACCAUGGGGAACGACCUUCUUCUUAUCUGCAGAGACUCCAAUUGGCUCUCAGCACAGUGGUGAAGCGUGGUGGGAUUCCAGCCACUGAAAUGGACAAAUAUUUGUUAAAACAAUUUUGUAGAGGUUGCUGGGAUAAUAGUAUGAUAAACAAACUGCGACUAGAAAAGAAAAAAGAUCAACCACCUCCUUUCUCUGAGCUUUUAUUAACACUUAGAACAGAAGAAGAUAGGCAGUUGGCAAAAGAGAUGUUAAUGAAAAAACAUAUUCCAUCAGUCAAGCAUCGUGUCAAUGUACAAGCUCACACUACUAGUGCAUGUUCAUGUGGCCAUCCAUCAGACUCGGGUGCUAUUGAAGACUUGAGAAAGCAAAUGCUGAAGCUGCAGAGUCAAAUGUCAGCUUUGCUGUCUAAGGACUCUAAUUCUGUUAAACCAGAAAAUCAGCUGAAAAAACAGAAACUAAAAUCUGGCCAAACUAGUAGUAGGCCAAAGCCCUGGUUCUGCUUUAAGUGUGGACAGGAUGGUCACAUUGCUCCCAACUGUUCCAGUCAGCCAAAUUCCAGCUUGGUUGAAGAAAACGCCAGCUUAAACACAAACAGCAGUCCUGGGAGAAAAGUAAAUCAUCAAACUAGAAGCAGUUCUUACUGAGGGACAAGUGGGAGCUGCAACCAAUGAAUGUCCCCCCAUUCAAGACUCAUCUUCUUAUUUUCCAUUACCUAAAGGGUUAGUGGGCACAAGGAGUACUGGCGAGGUGAAGAUUAAAGGGAUCAAUUUUCAUUGCCUCUUAGACACAGGUUCCCAAGUCACCACAAUUUCACAUUCCUUCUAUAACACCCAUCUAUCGGAUCAUAAAAUAAAACCCAUAAAUGAUCUUUUGGAGGUAGAAGGUGCAAAUGGUCAGAGGGUGCCUUAUAUUGGAUAUGUGGAACUCUGUUUGACAUUUCCCUCUGAGUUCACAGGAGAAGAGAUGGACAUAAACACCUUGGCCUUGGUUGUUCCAGACCUGCGAUCAUCCCAACCCCCUGUUCUGAUUGGCACCAACACUUUGGAUGUUGUGUAUAACCAGUGCUGUCAGUCACAGUCUGAGUUCCAUCCUGUGCCUUUUGGAUAUAGAGCAGUGCAUAAAAUUUUGGAGAUAAGGCACAAACUAACAACUGAUGACUAUCAUGGCAUUCUAAAAAUGCAGUCAUCUAUCCCCCAGGUUGUUCCUGCUCAGAGAACUGCUGUGUUGGAUGCUCUUCUUAUAUGCCCAUUACUGCAAGGUGAAAAAGAAGUAAUUAUUCAGCAUCCAACCUCCUUUUCUCUACCUGGUGGUUUAAUGGUAAAAUCAAGCCUUUUUGAUCUACCUCCUGUACAGCCUGCUUCUCUGCCAGUGGUGAUCACUAAUGAAUCUGACCAUGACAUUGUGAUUCCAGUUAGAGCCGCUAUCGCUGAAGUCAGUACAAUCCAAACCAUACUUUAUAAAGAACAGAGUGUGCAUCAACCUUCCCAUAGUUCAGAGCUAAAUCCAACUAAGUUGAACUACAAUUUUGGAGACUCUCCGCUCUCAACUGAAUGGAAGCAACGUAUAACAAUCAUGCUCGACAGUAUGUCAGAUGUUUUUUCAAAGCAUGAUCUUGAUUUUGGUCGUACAGAUAAGGUCAAGCAUGAGAUCAAGCUGUCGGAUCCCACUGCUUUUAAACAGCGACCAAGACCCAUUCACCCCCUAGAUGUGGAUGCUGUACGUAAACACAUUCAAGAACUGUUGCAGUCUGGUGUUAUACGUGAAUCCAACUCACCUUUUGC